Molecule: ribosomal RNA, 491 nt
Filed under: uncultured bacterium
Lineage: Bacteria
Description: partial 16S ribosomal RNA
Rfam family: Bacterial small subunit ribosomal RNA
Source: RNAcentral
AGUGAACGCUGGCGGUAGGCCUAACACAUGCAAGUCGAACGGCAGCACAGUAAGAGCUUGCUCUUACGGGUGGCGAGUGGCGGACGGGUGAGGAAUACAUCGGAAUCUACUUUUUCGUGGGGGAUAACGUAGGGAAACUUACGCUAAUACCGCAUACGACCUACGGGUGGAAGCAGGGGAUCUUCGGACCUUGCGCGAUUGAAUGAGCCGAUGUCGGAUUAGCUAGUUGGCGGGGUAAAGGCCCACCAAGGCGACGAUCCGUAGCUGGUCUGAGAGGAUGAUCAGCCACACUGGAACUGAGACACGGUCCAGACUCCUACGGGAGGCAGCAGUGGGGAAUAUUGGACAAUGGGCGCAAGCCUGAUCCAGCCAUACCGCGUGGGUGAAGAAGGCCUUCGGGUUGUAAAGCCCUUUUGUUGGGAAAGAAAAGCAGCAGGUUAAUACCCCGCUGUUCUGACGGUACCCAAAGAAUAAGCACCGGCUAACUUCGU